This 255-nucleotide ribosomal RNA is filed under the name uncultured bacterium. RNAcentral's name for it is "partial 16S ribosomal RNA". It matches the Rfam family "Bacterial small subunit ribosomal RNA", at positions 524 to 776 of the family's 1533-position model. The record is from RNAcentral.
UACGGGGGGAGCAAGCGUUGUUCGGAUUUACUGGGCGUAAAGGGCGCGUAGGCGGCCACCGCAAGUCGGACUGUGAAAUCUCCGGGCUUAACCCGGAAAGGUCAGCCGAUACUGCGGGGCUAGAGUGCAGAAGGGGCAACUGGAAUUCUCGGUGUAGCGGUGAAAUGCGUAGAUAUCGAGAGGAACACCUGCGGCGAAGGCGGGUGCUGGGCUGACACGUGACGCUGAGGCGCGAAAGCUAGGGGAGCAAACGGG